RNAcentral lists this ribosomal RNA (200 nucleotides) under uncultured bacterium. Its description in RNAcentral is "partial 16S ribosomal RNA". It matches the Rfam family "Bacterial small subunit ribosomal RNA", at positions 28 to 237 of the family's 1533-position model. The record is from RNAcentral.
GGCUAACGCUGGCGGCGUGCCUAACACAUGCAAGUCGAACGGGGUAGCAAUACCCAGUGGCAGACGGGUGAGUAGCACGUGGUCAACCUACCUCUGUGUGGGGGAUAACUAGCCGAAAGGUUAGCUAAUACCGCAUACGAUCGUUUUGGGGCAUCCCGAGACGAUGAAAGGAGCAAUCCGCACGGAGAGGGGACUGCGUC